Non-coding RNA from Anas platyrhynchos (mallard), 2621 nucleotides. The record is from RefSeq and is a predicted model, not a curated record. Lineage: Eukaryota; Metazoa; Chordata; Aves; Anseriformes; Anatidae.
GGACACCAGUCAGCCCUAAGCAAGUCCACCUGCAGGUAUGGGUGGCACUGCCCCAGUGCAAGAUAACAGCUUACACCGCAGGGUGAUAAAUAAUGCUAUGAAUUACAGGGACUAGUAGGUGUUGGCUGUGUGAGUAUCCUGGUGGGAUUAUGAGUAGUCUGCACCUAGUACAGGUGAGGGAGUGCUACGAUCUAGUCGUGUGUGAAACACACAGGAAAAACCCAUGCAUUCCUUUUCUCAAUGCAUUCAAGUUGUCUUUGGGGACUUGUGAGCUGGGACGAAAGUAGAUGAAAUUGAGAACAAAAAGAGUAGUUUUAGUGGUCAAAAAUUACAAAUCUGUAAUCAAACAUAGGCAUUUUGCACUUAAAGCUAAUCCUGGCUAAAUGGUGAGUAAAAAAAAUAUACAACAGCUAAAAUGAAGCCAUGUGCAACACACAACAGCUGCUAGUGUCUAUCAAAUGGUGUGAGGAAUAGAAGAUUAGGAAGGGAUGCUAACGACCACAAGAGAAGGUUCAGAAAUGCCUGGGCUCAGCACACCAAAUAGGAUGAAGAACCUUCACAGAGGUUACAUCAGACUACUAAGUGAGCAUGUGUUGUCUCCAGUCCUAAAAUACUAACAGCAGUAAUGUCAGAGCAUGGUGAUCUAAUGACAGAACCUAAUGACAGAACCUAAAGACAACGAGGUUGGAAUUAGAUUAUCUUUAAGGUCCCCUCCAACCCAAACCAUUCUGUGAACCAUAAUUUACCUAUGGCACUGCCCCUAUUUACAGAAACCUCCUGUGCUGAGCCUGCCUUCAAGCAGGACCUCACGUGGAUCAAGUGGAAUAGCCAGAAGAGGGGCACUGAGUGCCCAGCAGUCAACGCAAUGGCUUAAGCAAGUUGUUAAUAUGGUAUGAAUGGCUGCAUGCAAGUUAGGGGCACAGGGGGUUAUCGAUAGGGUGGAUCUGACCUACCCUUGGCUCCUGAAGCUAGCAGGACUGCCCAGGGCCUUGCAGACACACCACUAGAGGGAGGUAACACUUUACAAACACCCCAAGGGCCCAUGAAGUUGCUGGCAGGGCAUGAAAAUGUCUCCUGAGACCUAGACUCUGUUCUCAGGUCUGGAGAACAGCGGUCUACUUUUGUCCUCAAGCACCCAUUUGCCUCUGCUCCUAUUGUUAAAUACUUAGUCCUCAACUUUUAUUCUCACAGUUUGGGUCCUGGAAAAUCCUACCUCCUCUGCUUCUGUUCGUUGGGGUGUUGCUUCUACCUGCUUCCCAAGUACCUCUUCUCCCCAUCUGAGGGCCAGAGGAAGGACCAGUAGGGGCAGAGGAAGGAGCGAAUCAGCUCCCAGGCCCUGUGACCGGAGCUCCCUGCCAAGAACAGCAAGAAGAGCCCAGCCGAGUUCCCUGUUUGGAAAGCUUGUUCAUCCUUGGAGCCUACUGCCAAACUUUAACAAGUCAGGGCACAGGACAAUUUUCUGUGAAAGAGAAUGGGAGAUGCUUGAUUAAACUGAGAACACUUUCAGCAACCGGCCAUGGGCAUCUCUGACACAAAGCAAAUCUACUCUCUCCCAUGUUUCCAAGCAGAUAAGUGGGCAAAAAGCCUGAAGCUAAAUUUAGGAAGGGCACAUCUUUACCCAAGGAACUCCCAAAGAGAAGACUUGUUGGAGAUCAAUGUCUGAACCCAAGGAAGAAGGAGCACUUUCAGGUUCCCAGGUCUAUAGUACACCCUAACAAUAUCCCAGCUCCGUAUCAGUAUGCAACCUAGAUGUGUGUUGCCCCCAGAGACACGUGAGAAAAAGCACAGGAUUACAAGUUGAAAUGGAUACCACAAUGCUCCUUGGAUGAUUGGUUGAGCUUGUCCAUCCCAGCACUUAGCCCUCACUGAAGCAGAGUGGUUAGAAAUUCUUCCUUCUCCUUCCUCCCCUUCUCCCACCAUGAGCAAAUGCACCCUUUCCAGCACAUCCACUUCAACAUACAGAGACAGAUUUGCAGAAAUAACCUUAUCUGAAUUAAGUCAGUGAUCAGACAUUAUCCCUAGUUAAAAAACACUAGCCCAGAAUGCAUCUGAAAUAAAUGGUCUCAUUGGGCAAAAUACACAAAACAGACAGAGGAGAGGGAUCCUGUGAGAAUGAUUACUUAAUGACUCUUUCAGAUUUUGAAUAUUCAGGAUCACUAAUUCCUUACUGAAGAAAGAAUCUAAAAAAACAGGGUAGCUGAGAAAGAACAAUGUUAGCUGAGAAAGACACAGAGGGACAGACACAGAGCUGAAGAUGUAUAGGGGCAGCCUCUAAGUAGCUUGGCCUCCUCCAUACCCACCCCCACAAUCAUUUCAUGUUAUGCAGGUGUAUAUAAAAACAGGUAUACCAGUUUGAGAAAUAUGUUCCUUAAAGGCAAGAAAGAACCCAAGCUGGGAUUUAACCAGCCUUGACAAUGACAAAUUUAGAGAUGUACUCGAGAAGAAAAAUUGCUAACCUUGGCAAGUGGUUUCAGGCUGUCACAACUAGAUGACAGUCAAGGCUACCAACUGAGCACUGUGAGGAAAACAGGGACUUUCUGGGACCAGAAUUUUUAGAAUGCAAAGGGAUGCAGUCAUGCAACAGGGACGUGCUCUAUACAAGUUAUAUCAGCUGAAAAAAA